Pygocentrus nattereri (red-bellied piranha) is the source of this 224-nucleotide long non-coding RNA. RefSeq lists it as uncharacterized. Lineage: Eukaryota; Metazoa; Chordata; Actinopteri; Characiformes; Serrasalmidae. The transcript is spliced from 3 exons. The record is from RefSeq and is a predicted model, not a curated record.
UGGCUCGAAGUUUCUUUUCUAAAGAACAUUUGAAGAACCGCCUUUUUAAGAGGGUGGUGCUGAUACGGUACUCAGUGUUGGUAUCGGUCCGAUACCGGCCGCGGUCACUGGAUCGGGUAACAACGCUGUGCAGGAGCUCCAUAGAGACCCAUUCAUUUUGAACUCUCUCACCAGCGCCCUCUGGCGGACUCUACUGGAAACGUUCAACGAGCGAGAGCCGAGGC